AUAAUUCAAAUUUAUACGUCGAUAAUGGACUUGUAUGGAACGGGGAACUAUUUAAGUCCGAAGAUUAUCCGUACGUAAUGUUUAUUCAGUUGAAAAAUUCUGAAGGAAAACUUGGUCGUUGCACAGGCUCUUUAGUAAAAAAAAUGUUGGUAUUGACAGCUGGUCACUGUUGUUAUAGUUACGAAUUAAAUAACAUAAAACUAAGUAUGACUUCAUUGAAUUUCAAUUGUAUUUAAUUACCUACGUAAUUUAUGAUCCACUAAAAUAUUUUAAAUUCUUAAGCAACUAAUUUAUAAAUGUCAAAAUAGGUAUAUCAAGGAUCAAUGUAUAAGGAUCGUCACUAUACUCUUAAUAAUGACUGGCAUGAUGUUGUCAAAAAGUACGUACACGAAAAAUAUAUUCCAGGUACAGAUACCGAUGGAUAUGACGUCUGUUUGUUAAAAGUGAUUCAAGACCUUGUGAAGGGGAUAGUGGAGGUCCGAUGAUUUGCAACAAUUUGCAAUAUGGAACUUGCGGUUUUAAAUAUCCCGUCGAUGGAACGAUCCAUGCAAACUGUAGCAAUCGAAAUUUGCAGUCGAUUUAUGUGUUCUUUUAUUCUCAUAAACAAUGGUUAAAGAAUAUAAUGGGACCAACAAAAAAGAAGAAAGAAAAAAGAAAACGAAGUUCUGGGAAUUUGAUUAAGCCACGUCAUUACUCAUUGUAUAUAAUAUUAACAAUAUCAUUGUGUAAUAUUAUGUUGAUUUUUAUUGAUUAA
This 754-nucleotide unclassified non-coding RNA is filed under the name Acyrthosiphon pisum (pea aphid). RNAcentral's name for it is "uncharacterized LOC100571638, transcript variant X1". Lineage: Eukaryota; Metazoa; Arthropoda; Insecta; Hemiptera; Aphididae. The record is from RNAcentral.